RNAcentral lists this ribosomal RNA (506 nucleotides) under Teunomyces aglyptinius. Its description in RNAcentral is "LSU rRNA". It matches the Rfam family "Eukaryotic large subunit ribosomal RNA", at positions 56 to 633 of the family's 3401-position model. The record is from RNAcentral. Lineage: Eukaryota; Fungi; Ascomycota; Pichiomycetes; Serinales; Debaryomycetaceae.
GGUAGACACCGGGAUUGCCUCAGUAACGGCGAGUGAAGCGGCAAAAGCUCAAAUUUGAAAUCUCCGUAAGGCGAGUUGUAAUUUGAAGAGGCAACUUUGGACUGGAACCUUGUCUAUGUUCCUUGGAACAGGACGUCACAGAGGGUGAGAAUCCCGUGCGAUGAGGAGCGCCAGUCCGUGUAAAGUGCUCUCGACGAGUCGAGUUGUUUGGGAAUGCAGCUCUAAGUGGGUGGUAAAUUCCAUCUAAAGCUAAAUAUUGGCGAGAGACCGAUAGCGAAACAAGUACAGUGAUGGAAAGAUGAAAAGCACUUUGAAAAGAGAGUGAAAAAGUACGUGAAAUUGUUGAAAGGGAAGGGCUUGAGAUCAGACUUGGUGACUCGUCACUGGGCCAGCAUCGGUUUGGGUGGUAGGAGAAUACCGUAGGAAUGUGGCUCUUUCGAGAGUGUUAUAGCCUGCGGAGAUGCUACCUACCUAGACCGAGGACUGCGCAACUAGAUGCUGCCUAC